AGCCUAGGCAGUUUUCGCAGUAGGAUGAUCCAGACCUUCAUCCCUGAGGUGUUUGAGCCCUGGUUACCUUGUCCUUGUAAGGCUGUGAUUGCUACAAUUAGCUGCUCAUAGUUAUCACUGGACAGGGAAGGAUCAAGACUUAUCCUCCAUGCUGCCACCUCCAUCAUAGUGAAUUCACCGACACUGUACACUUUCAUGCCUCCACUAUGAAGAAACAACCUUAACAUCUCACAGCUGGAAAACACUGUGGAUUUCACAGAGCAGUGAGCAUCUGAGAAAUAUUGGGACUUAAGGAAGUGCAACCAUUGUAGGGAAACAUUCAGCCUCUUCAAGUACAUUCCUACUUCAACAAACUGGUGGAGACCGCCCUGAGAGUAAUGAAGGAAGAAGCAGUGACUGUUCAUUUCAAUGUGAAAGUGGAAGAAAAUCAACCAUUUUGUUAAAUCUUCCCAGAGGAAUCGAAUGAAACUAAAUAAUCUUAUAAUCUAGGUACAAGAAGGACAACACAUUGAAGGGAUGAAUUAGGGCUUUUCUCUUCCAGAUUGGAGGAUAUCAGGACCAGCCCAGGGUCCUUGAAAAUGAAUCUGCUUUCCCUUUAUUUGGCCCAUAAAAUCUGCAUCCUUGGGGAAGGCCUGACUUUACUGUGUGGAAAGAAAUCACAGGAGGAGAGAAUCAGGCUAAAUGAGCCAGAGGGCUUUGAGACUCGGUGUCCCUUUGCAGCCUCGUUGCCUGCCAAGAGGGCAGGUGUGGAGACCCCUGGGGCCCUGGAGCAGCCUGAGACUCAGGAAAAGAGGUGCAGCAGCAGAGGGGAACAUGAACACCAUGCAGGUCCCAGCUGGGCAGUAAAAUGGGUCAAACCAAGAGCACUGCACACUCACAAAUCAAAGGAAAAUUCUCAGUGGAGAAGUCGUCAGGAGCAACUUGGAUGCCAGCCAAAGGAAAAACACCGAGGAUUAUAGACUUCCAUUAAACUCAGUCCACACAAGUCAGCAGAUACAUUCUCCCUAAUGAGAAGAUGGGGGUGGUGCUGCCUUGGUUCCUUCAGGAUCAGCUCACUCAUUCUAGCACAUUUCACAGGGCGCCGGUGUCUCAUCACAUAUGCCUUGCAGCACCAAGCGUAACAGCUUAUAUUUGUUGUGUGAAUUUAAUUGAAUCAAACAACUAAGGUCAGAGAAAAGAAAUCAAUUAAUAAUUAUCUUCUGAGCAUGUGUUAUGCGCAUUGAACUCUGCCAGUUGUAUACAAGGUGCGACUAUAAAGCAAAGAGGCAGACUUCCUUGUGUAGUUGGUGGGAGCAGACCAGUUACUUUACGCUUUCAUUUCAUGCUUUAUCCACACCAAGCUCAUUUUUGUUGCAAGAGUUGGGGACCUCAUUUGAAG
Molecule: long non-coding RNA, 1378 nt
Filed under: Equus caballus (horse)
Lineage: Eukaryota; Metazoa; Chordata; Mammalia; Perissodactyla; Equidae
Description: lncRNA (ENSECAG00000052758.1)
Source: RNAcentral